This 406-nucleotide ribosomal RNA is filed under the name uncultured bacterium. RNAcentral describes it as "partial 16S ribosomal RNA". It matches the Rfam family "Bacterial small subunit ribosomal RNA", at positions 28 to 526 of the family's 1533-position model. The record is from RNAcentral.
GAUGAACGCUGACAGAAUGCUUAACACAUCAGCAAUUGAUUGGUGGCGGACGGGUGAGUAACGCUUAAAGAACUUGCCUCACAGCUAGGGCCAACAUUUGGAAACGAAUGCUAAUACCUAAUACUGUGAGAGAGCUUUGCGUCCCAUUAGCUAGUUGGAGAGGUAACGACGCACCAAGGCGAUGAUGGGUAGCCGGCCUGUGAGGGUGAUCGGCCACAAGGGGAAUGAGACACGGGCAUUACUGCUACGGGAGGCAGGAGUGGGGAAUAGUGGAAAAUGGACCAAAGUAUGAUCAAGGAAUUCGGUGUGAACGAUUAAGUUUUCGGAAUGAAAAGUGCUUUCAGAUGGGAAGCGGUACCAACAGAAGAAGUGACGGCUAAAUACGUGCCAGCAGCCGCGGUAAUUC